GAGGAAAAGAAACCAACAGGGAUUGCCCUAGUAACGGCGAGUGAAGCGGCAACAGCUCAAAUUUGAAAUCUGGCUCUUUCAGGGUCCGAGUUGUAAUUUGUAGAGGGUGCUUUGGCGUUGACUGUGGUCUAAGUUCCUUGGAACAGGACGUCGCAGAGGGUGAGAAUCCCGUAUGUGGCCGCCAGUCUUCGCCGUGUAAAGCCCCUUCGACGAGUCGAGUUGUUUGGGAAUGCAGCUCUAAAUGGGAGGUAAAUUUCUUCUAAAGCUAAAUAUUGGCCAGAGACCGAUAGCGCACAAGUAGAGUGAUCGAAAGAUGAAAAGCACUUUGGAAAGAGAGUCAAAAAGCACGUGAAAUUGUUGAAAGGGAAGCGCUUGCAGCCAGACUUGCCUGUAGUUGCUCAUCCGGGCUUUUGCCCGGUGCACUCUUCUAUGGGCAGGCCAGCAUCAGUCCUGGCGGUUGGAUAAAUGUCUGCACAAUGUACCUCUCUUCGGGGAGGACUUAUAGGGCAGGCGGCAUACAACCAGCCGGGAUUGAGGUCCGCGCAUCUGCUAGGAUGCUGGCGUAAUGGCUGUAAGCGGCCCGUCUUGAAACACGGACCAAGGAGUCUAACAUCUAUGCGAGUGUUUGGGUGUCAAGCCCGAGCGCGUAAUGAAAGUGAACGGAGGUGGGAACCCCUCGGGGUGCACCAUCGACCGAUCCUGAUGUCUUCGGAUGGAUUUGAGUAAGAGCAUAGCUGUUGGGACCCGAAAGAUGGUGAACUAUGCCUGAAUAGGGUGAAGCCAGAGGAAACUCUGGUGGAGGCUCGCAGCGGUUCUGACGUGCAAAUCGAUCGUCAAAUUUGGGCAUAGGGGCGAAAGACUAAUCGAACUAUCUAGU
RNAcentral lists this ribosomal RNA (877 nucleotides) under Preussia intermedia. RNAcentral describes it as "partial large subunit ribosomal RNA". It matches the Rfam family "Eukaryotic large subunit ribosomal RNA", at positions 53 to 948 of the family's 3401-position model. Lineage: Eukaryota; Fungi; Ascomycota; Dothideomycetes; Pleosporales; Sporormiaceae. The record is from RNAcentral.